CCUAUGACGUAUGAACAGCAUAAUAUAUGUACCAUGUCGUUAAGAAAUACUUUUUUGUUCGAGAGGGAACAUUGUUAAAUAUUCGAUAAUAAUGUGUCUCGAUCUAACAGUUCAACUUGAUAUUAGCAUUUGAAUCCACCAGAUGCUUAUGUAAUAUGAAUUUGUCCGAAACACACUCAAGACAAAAAAAUUGAGAAGGUGCGCGUAGGUCGUAAGCCAGUAACAAAAUUCUUAUGAUCAAAAAUACUUUCAACUUGAAAUAAUAAUCUGAUAAGCGUCAAAAAACAAUUAAAAUUUUUCAACAAUAUGCGAUACAUUUCGAUGAAUCGACUAUCAAUGAAAAAUGAUUAAAUUCUAAUGGUAACUGUGAUAACCUUGACAGUAAUUACCCAUACUGUGAAUAAAACACGAUAAAAUGCAGAAUCGAUAGUUCAGCUGACGAACAUAAUGAAUCCUCGUUUGGGAUAAACCAUAUUACAUCAAUUAUCGGAUUAUAGAAAGAUUUUGGUCCAGUAGAACCUUCCUCAAAGGCCAAUAUAUACAUCUGAAAACAGUUAAAGGUCCUUCAUCAAAUAAUCCAACCAUCAAGAGGGAAGCUUGGAUAUCUUUUCUCAUUCAUCCAGUCUUAAGAAUGAAUCACACUUUGAGAAAUAUUUUAUUUUGUAGAUAAGUGUGCUGUAAUACACCUAAUAAUUAAUUCAUCUGCCGUUUUCUAACAUACAACGACACAUUAUAUGUAUAGACUAAUGCCAAUAGAAAAAAAUUACCUUUAUGAAGAUAUAAAUGAAUUCAAAUAAGAUUACCCUGUAUCAGGGAUAGCAAUAAUUCAAAA
Long non-coding RNA from Harmonia axyridis, 832 nucleotides. RefSeq lists it as uncharacterized. The record is from RefSeq and is a predicted model, not a curated record. The transcript has 2 exons. NCBI's taxonomy places the organism in Eukaryota, Metazoa, Arthropoda, Insecta, Coleoptera, Coccinellidae.